Molecule: long non-coding RNA, 235 nt
Filed under: Ananas comosus (pineapple)
Lineage: Eukaryota; Viridiplantae; Streptophyta; Magnoliopsida; Poales; Bromeliaceae
Description: long non-coding RNA (ACOM_LNC044376)
Source: RNAcentral
AAAAUGGAACGUGAGGAAUCAUGAACCGAAGCUUUAGAGGAGCUUCGGCAAGAAGAGCUGAUCGACAGGAUUGGCUGUGUGAUAAAUUCAGCAGAGUUGGCCGAUGACAUUGUAGGCAACAAGAAGGCCGAGAUGGCCGAUAGUGAUAUGGUGAAAUCGGCUGUUAAAGCUGAUUCGAAAGUAAAAUCGGUAGAAGAAGCCGAUGAGAAAAAACCAGACGAAACAAAGAGGCGAA